UAAUCUUAAAUGUGACCCGUUAGAUGUCGGAAUAUUCUGAAAAAGAUUCCUGUCACAGAAGCAAAUUUCGUGUGAAUGUUUCGUUACUCGACGAAAAUACCCCUCCGUCUUUUAUACAUUUACAUAAAAAACACAACUCUUUCUUUUCGCUAUUCCCUCUUCAGUUCCACCAUCACCACCCUAUCGUUACCAUCGCCACCAGCAGCACCAUCACCCCCACCAUUAUCAUUAUCACCAGAAACACCAUCACGGAGAUCAAAUACAGGAAACUGAUUAAGUAAUGGAGUCUUCUUCCAACGGAUUAAUUGAAGUUGAAAUUGAAGAUUUAUAAAAACAAAUUGGGAGAAUAAGCUGUUUCCUCCAAAAAUUCUUUGCUCAUCAAGAAUUGUUCUUUUUUGCUCCAUGUCGCAAUUCAAAGAAUCUGUGAAAAACUGUAAAGAAGAUAAGGGGUCAUCUUAAUUUUUAGUACCUGACUGUAAGGUGGGCAACUGCAUCUAUGUAGACUUUGACAAAUUCAACUAUUUACUCAAAUGGAGAUUAUGCUACAUUAUUAUGGAGUUUAAAUUAGCAUGUCCACAAUUGGAACUUUGCAUAUAAUUCAUGGGCUGCUUUAGCAUUACAUCUCUCCUUCGUCAUAGGCCAUAGAAUCGGUACUCAAGACCAAAUUGUGAGCUCCUUAUCAGAAAUGAAAUUACAACAGUGAAAUGGGUAUGAAAGAUUGCGAUCAUGUCAAUUUAUCAUGGAAGUGCAACCCUGUAGAAGUAAGACAAUUGAACUAUUUGCAUGUUUGUUAACUGUCUAUGUUUGUGGCGCUUGGGAAGAUGGCCAAAUUUUAAAAUAGUCGCAAGAAGAAGUUCUUAGUUGCAGACCUUAUGAAAGAUCUUGGUGGCGUUACUUUUAUUGUAGGCAUUUGGUAUUUACUUUUAUUGCAGGCAUGUGUGUAUACCGACCCGUACUUUCCAGCCAUUAGCAAAUCAUGCUCUGUUUCUUAUUUGUACUGUACCCAAGUUGAGAUGUUCAUCGUUUGUUGUUGGUAUCAUGUUAAGCAAAUGGUUCAACGGGACGAAGGCGUAUUUGAAACUCAGUGGCCGACGUGCAACGCACGUGCACUCUACUUGUGUUUAUAAUUUGUUAACUGGUUCAUACUAAAGUCUGUAAUCGAUACUAAUGAUCGUUGGUUCAUACCAGAGUCAAUAUAUAAUCUGUUACUUAGCCUGUAAU
Papaver somniferum (opium poppy) is the source of this 1221-nucleotide long non-coding RNA. RefSeq lists it as uncharacterized. The transcript has 6 exons. NCBI's taxonomy places the organism in Eukaryota, Viridiplantae, Streptophyta, Magnoliopsida, Ranunculales, Papaveraceae. The record is from RefSeq and is a predicted model, not a curated record.